CGAGAGUCGGCUUCCUUAAGUCUGUUGUUCCUCAGUGGCUUUAAUGGUAGAGCGGUCGGCUGUUAACUGACUGGUCGUAGGUUCAAAUCCUACUUGGGGAGA
Molecule: transfer RNA, 102 nt
Filed under: Helianthus annuus (common sunflower)
Lineage: Eukaryota; Viridiplantae; Streptophyta; Magnoliopsida; Asterales; Asteraceae
Description: sRNA HanXRQr2_Chr04g0152681
Rfam family: tRNA (bases 29-101)
About the family: Transfer RNA (tRNA) molecules are approximately 80 nucleotides in length.
Source: RNAcentral